This is a long non-coding RNA of Aplysia californica (California sea hare), 1219 nucleotides long. RefSeq lists it as uncharacterized. The record is from RefSeq and is a predicted model, not a curated record. NCBI's taxonomy places the organism in Eukaryota, Metazoa, Mollusca, Gastropoda, Aplysiida, Aplysiidae. The transcript has 2 exons.
ACAAAAACAACAGCUACAACUAAAACAACAGCAACAAUAACAACUAUCAAUUACAUCACCUAUACACUGACUACAAAACCUCGAAAAGAUUCACUCAUCAUAGCCAAUUUUUGACAAACCUGCCACUAAGCUGGUAGAUAUGUUGGCAAGGUAUGGGCCCUGCUAAAAGAUGUGAUACUUUUAACCACUCUUGGCCAGCGAAAAAGUGCGAUAUUAUAAUCUCCCUCCUAUUCGCAUCCUUUAUUUAUCAUAUUCGCAAUUUCCGUUACAGGCAUUGUCAUAUGAUCCAGGCCAUUAUAGCCUUCCUUGCGUAAGGGCUGCUUGGGUUCUCACUUCUUACGCAUGUGACAACUCUCGUGAGCAUAAUGGUUACAACUCUCCAGCGCGUGCGCCAAGUGAUAAUCAAACAACUCGUGAGAUCAACAAUAUUGUACAACCACCCGGGCAAUAAAUUAGAAUCACUCUGAAGCAUGCAUGACGGUGAUCCUUGUUCAUCCGAUUUUAUUUAGCGAGGACUCACGCUCAAGUCUAAGUGACAGAUUGAAGGGAGAUAAUUCAUUACUUCAUCUAAUGAUUGGUAAAGAAGUUCCCUUGACGUUAGGCAGUCGGUGCUACAUGGAUUUAACACAAGACAUGAAAACCUCGUUGUGCCGCCAGCCUCGCUGUACCGCAAACUUCAUGCUCGUCCCAAGGUAGGUGGUAUAACGGGGUAUGACUGUAUUCUGAAGCAUGAACUUUCAAUUUCCAUUAAGAUCGCUGUGGGUGGGUCAAACAAAGGCAUGUACAUGGGUUUCUAUGCUAUUUCCACUCGCUCUGCAUGCACAAAAUAGCCGGGCCAAGGUGGCAAAGGGCCAUCACGACAGGCGGGCGUCCAAUUGUACGCACUUAGGGCACUAGGGGUCUCCCAGGAAGAUCGUCUGCAUAAUGAUUGUGUCCACCGGCCAGUGCGUGUGACUCUCAGCGAUCUCCCCUCCCAGCGAUGGAGGCUGUUCCGGUAUCGAUUUUGUGCCUUGUGCGUGCCAGUUGGGAUUUUGCCAUCCCACGCACCCAUAUUCCCCCACUCCCAUUUUUUUUCUGUCCUCCCCUUCCCCCUCUUCCACCCCAACACGAUCCAGGACACGUUUCUGUUUAGUUUCCUUAUUUAUUCUUUUUUUCUGGGAAGCUGUCAGUCUCUAUCGCUGCUUUGUUUUCGUAUGUGACUACCGAGAGCCAAAACGAG